UACGUAGGGCGCAAGCGUUGUCCGGAAUUAUUGGGCGUAAAGAGCUCGUAGGCGGCCUGUUGCGUCCGCUGUGAAAUCCCGGGGCUCAACCCCGGGCCUGCAGUGGAUACGGGCUGGCUAGAGGCAGGCAGGGGAGAACGGAAUUCCUGGUGUAGUGGUGAAAUGCGCAGAUAUCAGGAGGAACACCGGUGGCGAAGGCGGUUCUCUGGGCCUGUACUGACGCUGAGGAGCGAAAGCGUGGGGAGCGAACAGG
RNAcentral lists this ribosomal RNA (253 nucleotides) under uncultured bacterium. RNAcentral describes it as "partial 16S ribosomal RNA". It matches the Rfam family "Bacterial small subunit ribosomal RNA", at positions 524 to 776 of the family's 1533-position model. The record is from RNAcentral.